Molecule: ribosomal RNA, 484 nt
Filed under: uncultured bacterium
Lineage: Bacteria
Description: partial 16S ribosomal RNA
Rfam family: Bacterial small subunit ribosomal RNA
Source: RNAcentral
GAUGAACGCUGGCGGCGUGCUUAACACAUGCGAGUCGAACGGUGAAGCAGGAGCUUGCUCUUGUGGAACAGUGGCGAACGGGUGAGUAACACGUGAGCAACCUGCCCCUGACUCUGGGAUAAGCGCUGGAAACGGCGUCUAAUACUGGAUAUGUGAUGUGACCGCAUGGUCUGCAUCUGGAAAGAAUUUCGGUUGGGGAUGGGCUCGCGGCCUAUCAGCUUGUUGGUGAGGUAAUGGCUCACCAAGGCGUCGACGGGUAGCCGGCCUGAGAGGGUGACCGGCCACACUGGGACUGAGACACGGCCCAGACUCCUACGGGAGGCAGCAGUGGGGAAUAUUGCACAAUGGGCGGAAGCCUGAUGCAGCAACGCCGCGUGAGGGAUGACGGCCUUCGGGUUGUAAACUUCUUUUAGCAGGGAAGAAGCGAAAGUGACGGUACCUGCAGAAAAAGCACCGGCUAACUACGUGCCAGCCGCCGCGGUAA